Molecule: non-coding RNA, 139 nt
Organism: Maylandia zebra (zebra mbuna)
Lineage: Eukaryota; Metazoa; Chordata; Actinopteri; Cichliformes; Cichlidae
Source: RefSeq, a predicted model, not a curated record
GGUGUGGAGUGGAGCUUGUUGUUGGUGUGUGAAGAAACUCUCCUUAGAUCACAUGACCUGGAUGACUGAACCUACAGACAUAUUGACCUGGUUUCAUGGUCACAUGACAGACUGACUGAAGAUGAUGAUGGAGGAAGAG